GUGCGAUCCCACCAGCUGGUGCUCCCUCCCUGUGAUGUGGUGAUUAAAGCCGUGGCUGUGUACGUCAGCAGGAUCCCUGACGUCCGAGACCUCGACGCCGUGGCCAGGGACGUCUUUAAGAACUCACGGGCACGGACAGCUGACAAGAUGGAGCGUUUCAAACAGGCCGUGGGAUACUAUUCAGCAGCUAGCAAACCGGGACCCCCGCCCUUCCUGGGUCUGGGAGCUGCCCAGUUUGGAAUGCCCUCCUUCCCUGCCAAUCACCUUCAGGGAAUGCCCCACGCAAAGCCCAUGGUAGGUUCAC
This is a non-coding RNA of Chiloscyllium plagiosum (whitespotted bambooshark), 304 nucleotides long. The record is from RefSeq and is a predicted model, not a curated record. Lineage: Eukaryota; Metazoa; Chordata; Chondrichthyes; Orectolobiformes; Hemiscylliidae.